AUCGCUUCUCUGCCUUUUGGCUAAGAUCAAGUGUAGGAUCUGUUCUUAACAGUUUAAUAUCUGAUAUAUUUUCUAUCCGAGUCCAAUAUAUUAAAUGGAUUUGGGGAGCAGGAAGACGGAAUAGGAGCUUGCUUGUUCACUUCACGCAUCGAUCUGGUAUUGCAGUACCUCCAGGAACAGUGCACCCCCU
Homo sapiens (human) is the source of this 190-nucleotide small nuclear RNA. The record is from Ensembl. NCBI's taxonomy places the organism in Eukaryota, Metazoa, Chordata, Mammalia, Primates, Hominidae.